GUGACAAACAUACAAAAAACACAUCCAUUAUUUAAAAUUAUUAACCACUCAUUCAUUGACUUACCCGCCCCAUCCAAUAUUUCAUCAUGAUGAAACUUUGGGUCCCUCCUAGGAAUCUGCCUAAUAGUCCAGAUCAUUACAGGCCUAUUCUUAGCCAUACACUAUACAUCAGACACAAUAACAGCCUUUUCAUCAGUAACACACAUCUGCCGAGACGUAAAUUACGGGUGACUAAUCCGAUAUAUACACGCAAAUGGAGCCUCAAUAUUUUUUAUUUGCUUAUUCCUUCAUGUCGGACGAGGAAUAUACUAUGGAUCCUAUACAUUCAUAGAAACAUGAAACAUUGGAGUACUUCUACUAUUCGCAGUUAUAGCCACAGCAUUUAUAGGCUAUGUUCUUCCAUGAGGACAAAUAUCAUUCUGGGGAGCUACAGUUAUUACAAACCUCCUAUAAGCUAUUCCAUACAUUGGAACAACCCUAGUCGAAUGAAUUUGAGGAGGCUUCUCAGUAGACAAAGCUACCCUAACCCGAUUCUUCGCCUUCCACUUCAUCUUACCAUUUAUCAUUGCAGCCCUAGCAAUCGUUCACCUUCUCUUCCUCCAUGAAACAGGAUCAAAUAACCCAACAGGACUAAACUCAGAUGCAAAUAAAAUCCCAUUUCACCCCUACUACACAUUCAAAGAUAUCCUAGGUAUCCUAAUUAUAUUUUUACUUCUCAUAACUCUAGUAUUAUUUUUCUCAGACAUACUAGGAGACCCAGACAACUAUAUACCAGCCAACCCACUAAACACCCCACCACAUAUUAAACCUGAAUGAUAUUUCCUAUUUGCAUACGCUAUUCUACGCUCAAUCCCUAACAAAAUAGGAGGGGUUCUAGCCCUAAUGUUAUCUAUCCUAAUUUUAGCCCUAAUACCUUUCCUUCACACUUCAAAGCAACGAAGCCUAAUAUUCCGCCCAAUCACACAAAUCUUGUACUGAAUCCUAGUAGCUAACCUACUGAUCUUAACUUGAAUUGGAAGUCAACCAGUAGAACACCCAUUUAUUAUCAUUGGCCAAUUAGCCUCCAUCUCAUACUUCUCAAUCAUCUUAAUUCUCAUGUCAAUCUCAGGAAUUAUUGAAGACAAAAUAUUAAAAUUAUAUCCA
This 1143-nucleotide long non-coding RNA is filed under the name Mus musculus (house mouse). RNAcentral describes it as "long non-coding RNA chr4:80003988-80005131". The record is from RNAcentral. Lineage: Eukaryota; Metazoa; Chordata; Mammalia; Rodentia; Muridae.